CUCAGGAUGAACGCUAGCGGCAGGCUUAAUACAUGCAAGUCGUGGGGCAGCAUGAGUAGCAAUACUUGAUGGCGACCGGCAAACGGGUGAGGAACACGUACACAACCUUCCUUCAAGCGGGGAAUAGCCCAGAGAAAUUUGGAUUAAUACCCAUAAUAUAUUUGAUAAGGCAUCUUAUUAAUAUUAAAGCUUCGGCACUUGAUGAUGGGUGUGCGGCUGAUUAGAUAGUUGGCGGGGUAACGGCCCACCAAGUCUACGAUCAGUAGCUGAUGUGAGAGCAUGAUCAGCCACACGGGCACUGAGACACGGGCCCGACUCCUACGGGAGGCAGCAGUAAGGAAUAUUGGACAAUGGACGAAAGUCUGAUCCAGCCAUGCCGCGUGAAGGAUUAAGGUCCUCUGGAUUGUAAACUUCUUUUAUAUGGGACGAAAAAAGGGCAUUCUUGUUCACUUGACGGUACCAUAUGAAUAAGCACCGGCUAACUCCGUG
This 489-nucleotide ribosomal RNA is filed under the name uncultured bacterium. RNAcentral describes it as "bacterial SSU rRNA". It matches the Rfam family "Bacterial small subunit ribosomal RNA", at positions 23 to 507 of the family's 1533-position model. The record is from RNAcentral.